Molecule: ribosomal RNA, 393 nt
Filed under: uncultured bacterium
Lineage: Bacteria
Description: partial 16S ribosomal RNA
Rfam family: Bacterial small subunit ribosomal RNA
Source: RNAcentral
CCUACGGGAGACAGCAGUGAGGAAUAUUUGUCAAUGGCCGCAGGGCUGAACCAGCCAAGUAGCGUGAAGGAUGACGGUCCUAUGGAUUGUAAACUUCUUUUGUCAGGGAGUAAAGUGCGCCACGUGUGGCUUUUUGCGUGUACCUUAUGAAUAAGCAUCGGCUAACUCCGUGCCAGCAGCCGCGGUAAUACGGAGGAUCCGAGCGUUAUCCGGAUUUAUUGGGUUUAAAGGGUGCGUAGGUGGAAUGUCAAGUCAGUUGUAAAAUUUCGGGGCUAAACCCAAACUUGCCGUUGAAACUGGGAGUCUUGAGUACACUAGAAGUAGGCGGAAUGCGUGGUGUAGCGGUGAAAUGCAUAGAUAUCACGCAGAACUCCGAUUGCGAAGGCAGCAUAC